UGGGAGGGCAGGUGAAAGCAGCCCCACCAGUACCUGGGGGAAAUCAGCAGGACUUUUGAGAACUCAUUGGGUAUAUAGAGGAACAGACUAAAGAAUAACAUUCAGUUUGGGCCAAUGGCAUGUAAGCAGAAGUGGUUGUGUACCAUCCCAGGAAGAGAUCUUUAGAGAGAGCCAGGCCUUACUCCAUCAUGCUACCUGGAGCGAAAACAGGCUAUCGAGAGUCCAGUCUUCCAUCGUAGACAGUGCUGUUGGGAGCCCCAUCCUUUUGGUGAGAGGAGUCAAACUGGAAGGAGAUGCAAAAUGGGAGCAAAGGGAUUCCAGAGGAAGAGAACAACGCAACCAGAGACCAGAAGUGUUCAGUGCAGGCAUGGCAUGGCCUGUGGAGCUGCAGCGCAUGAGACUACGUAGGAGAAAAGGCUGGGUGAUUAGGUGGGAUCUGCUUGUGAAGGGCUCUGAAGUUGGACCGUAUCUACUUUUGUGUCG
RNAcentral lists this long non-coding RNA (483 nucleotides) under Heterocephalus glaber (naked mole-rat). RNAcentral describes it as "lncRNA (ENSHGLG00000035852.1)". The record is from RNAcentral. Lineage: Eukaryota; Metazoa; Chordata; Mammalia; Rodentia; Bathyergidae.